This 497-nucleotide ribosomal RNA is filed under the name uncultured bacterium. Its description in RNAcentral is "partial 16S ribosomal RNA". It matches the Rfam family "Bacterial small subunit ribosomal RNA", at positions 28 to 507 of the family's 1533-position model. The record is from RNAcentral.
GAUGAACGCUGGCGGCGGGCCUAAUACAUGCAAGUCGAGCGACCAGACAAUAAGCUUGCUCCUCUGACGUUAGCGGCGGACGGGUGAGUAACACGUGCAUAACCUACCUAUAAUUCUGGGAUAACUUCGGGAAACCACAUCUAAUACCAGAGAAUAUAUUGAACCGCAGGGAUCAAUAGUGAAAGGCGGUUUUGCUGUCACUAAGAGCUGCAUCCGCGCUGCAUUAGCUAGUUGGUAAGGUAACGGCCUACCAAGGCAACGAUGCGUAGCUGACCUGAGAGGAUGAUCGGCCACACUGGAACUGAGACACGGUCCAGACUCCUACGGGAGGCAGCAGUGGGGAAUAUUCCGCAAUGGGCGAAAGCCUGACGGAGCAAUGCCGCGUGAGUGAUGAAGGUCUUCGGGUUGUAAAGCUCUUUUAUUAGGAAAGAACAACUGUGUAAGUAUCUAUGCACGUCUUGACGGUACCUAAUCAGUAAGCCACGGCUAACUUCGUG